RNAcentral lists this ribosomal RNA (468 nucleotides) under uncultured bacterium. RNAcentral describes it as "partial 16S ribosomal RNA". It matches the Rfam family "Bacterial small subunit ribosomal RNA", at positions 28 to 507 of the family's 1533-position model. The record is from RNAcentral.
GACGAACGCUGGCGGCGUGCUUAACACAUGCAAGUCGAACGGAAAGGCCCUGCUUUUGUGGGGUGCUCGAGUGGCGAACGGGUGAGUAACACGUGAGUAACCUGCCCUUGACUUUGGGAUAACUUCAGGAAACUGGGGCUAAUACCGGAUAGGAGCUCCUGCUGCAUGGUGGGGGUUGGAAAGUUUCGGCGGUUUGGGAUGGACUCGCGGCUUAUUAGCUUGUUGGUGGGGGAGUGGCUGACCAAGGCUUUGACGGGUAGCCGGCCUGAGAGGGUGAACGGCCACAUUGGGACUAGGAUACGGCCCAGACUCCUACGGGAGGCAGCAGUGGGGAAUAUUGCACAAUGGGCGGAAGCCUGAUGAAGCAACGCCGCGUGCGGGAUGACGGCCUUCGGGUUGUAAACCGCUUUCGCCUGUGACGAAGCGUGAGUGACGGUAAUGGGUAAAGAAGCACCGGCUAACUACGUG